Molecule: long non-coding RNA, 984 nt
Filed under: Aotus nancymaae (Ma's night monkey)
Lineage: Eukaryota; Metazoa; Chordata; Mammalia; Primates; Aotidae
Description: lncRNA (ENSANAG00000038914.1)
Source: RNAcentral
CUGUAAUCCCAGCUACUUGGGAGGCUGAGGCAGGAGAAUCACUUGAACCUGGCAGGCAGAGGUUGCAGUGAGCCGAUAUCGUGCCACUGCACUCCAUUCUGGGUGACAGAGUGAGACCCUGUCCAAAAGAUAUAUAUAAAGAAAAAAAAAUUACCAAAUUGUUUUUCAAGUGGUUGUCAACCAGGAAUACAGAGAGCCUCAUUCUGAGAAGGAAAACUAGAGGUUUGUUUUUUAAGUAAAAUUAUGUUUUUUUUUAUUAUUUUAAAAAAUGGAUCUAAAUAAUAGAUGAGUACAGUCUUACUUUAAGACAUUCAAUCAUUCAAAUAAGAGGGAAAGAAGUGUCCGUCCUCACUUCCAACACCCUGCCUCCUGGGUAACUUACAGCUUCCUUGGAAGGAGCUUGCCUAGAGCACCUGGGGAGAAGCCGUUGCUGGCUGUAGUGCCUGGGUCAACAGAAUAGAAGGGAGGCAGGAGGGGACUGCACAGGAGCCAGCUGGGCUUGUCACAGUUCCUGCUGGUGUGCUUGCUAUGAAAGGAUUUAUUUUUAGUAUUUGGGAAUAAUUAUGUUUAAAGAAGGUUAUUUAAAAACAGAUAUUCUUUCCCCUAGAGUGUACAGUGUUUGAUAUACACAGGUGGAUUCUUGCUUCUUGUGUGCAUUUUUCUAGACUCCAUUAAGACCAUAGCCCUUUGAGUACAACUCAUAAGAGGUUUAUGCUUUACAUCUCUACAUUCCAGUUACAUCUUCCUGGGGAUACAGCCUACAUGGAAGUUCAGCAAAUAUCUGGUCUAUUCCACACCUGUAAGAUGUAGCACUUGGAAAGGAAACACAUGACAAGACAAAAGAAAACCAAAAAAACCUCAUAAACACAUUACUCUUAAAAGUAAUCAAAGAAAUGGUUCUGUUAUCACCAGCUAAGAAAAAAAAAGUAAUUGAAGAAAAGCAAAACAACAACUACAGUACUACCAGAAAAACCUGAUUGUUAA